AGUGAACGCUGGCGGCGUGCUUAACACAUGCAAGUCGAACGAGAACGGGAUAUAGCUUGCUAUAUUUGUCAGCUAAGUGGCGCACGGGUGAGUAAUGUAUAGGUAAUAUGCCUCUUACUAAGGGAUAACAAUUGGAAACGAUUGCUAAUACCUUAUAUGCCUUUAAGACUAAAGUCUGCAAGGGAAAGAUUUAUUGGUAAGAGAUUAGCCUGUAUUGUAUCAGCUAGUUGGUGAGGUAAUGGCUCACCAAGGCUAUGACGCAUAACUGGUUUGAGAGGAUGAUCAGUCACACUGGAACUGAGACACGGUCCAGACUCCUACGGGAGGCAGCAGUGGGGAAUAUUGCACAAUGGACGAAAGUCUGAUGCAGCAACGCCGCGUGGAGGAUGACACAUUUCGGUGCGUAAACUCCUUUUAUAUAGGAAGAUAAUGACGGUACUAUAUGAAUAAGCACCGGCUAACUCCGUGCCAGCCGCCGCCGUAA
This 484-nucleotide ribosomal RNA is filed under the name uncultured bacterium. RNAcentral's name for it is "partial 16S ribosomal RNA". It matches the Rfam family "Bacterial small subunit ribosomal RNA", at positions 29 to 523 of the family's 1533-position model. The record is from RNAcentral.